ACGCAGGAAGGUAGCCCAAGCCGGGCGAUGGUUGUCCCGGUGCAAGUGCGUAGGCUGAGAGAUAGGCAAAUCCGUCUCUCGUGACGGCCGAGACACGAUGCGGACCCGAAAGGGAUAGUGGGUGAUCCUAAGCUGCCAAGAAAAGCAUCGACGCGAGGUUCCAGCCGCCCGUACCCCAAACCGACUCAGGUGGUCAGGUAGAGAAUACCAAGGAGAUCGAGAGAAUCGUGGUUAAGGAACUCGGCAAAAUGCCCCCGUAACUUCGGGAGAAGGGGGGCCUUCGACGUAUUAGGACUUGCUCCGAAAGCGUUUGGAGGCCGCAGAGACUAGUGGGUAGCGACUGUUUACUAAAAACACAGGUCCGUGCCAAGUCGCAAGACGAUGUAUACGGACUGACGCCUGCCCGGUGCUGGAAGGUUAAGAGGACGGGUUAGCCGUAAGGCGAAGCUCAGAAUUUAAGCCCCAGUAAACGGCGGUGGUAACUAUAACCAUCCUAAGGUAGCGAAAUUCCUUGUCGGGUAAGUUCCGACCUGCACGAAUGGCGUAACGACUUCCCAACUGUCUCAACCGCGAACUCGGCGAAAUUGCACUACGAGUAAAGAUGCUCGUUACGCGCAGCAGGACGGAAAGACCCCGUGACCUUUACUACAGCUUGGUAUUGGUGUUCGGUGUGGCUUGUGUAGGAUAGGUGGGAGACUUUGAAGCAGGGACGCCAGUUCUUGUGGAGUCGUUGUUGAAAUACCACUCUGGUCACUCUGGAUGUCUAACUUAGAACCGUAAUCCGGUUCAGGGACAGUGCCUGGUGGGUAGUUUAACUGGGGCGGUUGCCUCCCAAAAAGUAACGGAGGCGCCCAAAGGUUCCCUCAACCUGGUUGGCAAUCAGGUGGCGAGUGUAAGUGCACAAGGGAGCUUGACUGUGAGACUGACAGGUCGAGCAGGGACGAAAGUCGGGACUAGUGAUCCGGCAGUGGCUUGUGGAAGCGCUGUCGCUCAACGGAUAAAAGGUACCUCGGGGAUAACAGGCUGAUCUUGCCCAAGAGUCCAUAUCGACGGCAUGGUUUGGCACCUCGAUGUCGGCUCGUCGCAUCCUGGGGCUGGAGUAGGUCCCAAGGGUUGGGCUGUUCGCCCAUUAAAGCGGUACGCGAGCU
This 1148-nucleotide ribosomal RNA is filed under the name marine metagenome. RNAcentral's name for it is "bacterial LSU rRNA". It matches the Rfam family "Bacterial large subunit ribosomal RNA", at positions 1472 to 2606 of the family's 2925-position model. The record is from RNAcentral.